Molecule: long non-coding RNA, 1459 nt
Organism: Neopsephotus bourkii (Bourke's parrot)
Lineage: Eukaryota; Metazoa; Chordata; Aves; Psittaciformes; Psittacidae
Exons: 3
Source: RefSeq, a predicted model, not a curated record
UGAAAAUUCAAAGAGUACCAUGUGAGAACUUAUACAACGGUCAGCAAUGGGAGCAGCCACAGUUUGGAGGAUGACCAGUGGGGACUGGGAACUGUUUAAAAUGGGUUAAAUAUCCUGCUCAAGCAGAUACAGUGAAUGUUGCUCUGUGGAAGGGUAUGAAGCAAAUUCAGACAUAACCAGCUUCAAACUCUCUAGCCCUUCAUCAUCUUCAUCACUGGCCAGAGCUGUUAGCAGAAAGACAGCUCAAUACUUGGCCUAGGAAGUGAGCCAUGCUUUGGAGAGGCUGAAACACUGUGAUGCCAUCGCCAGCCUCAGCUGUGUAGAUAGGCGACAGGCCUCCAUAUUCAGUUGAAGUGGCAGGCAUGGGGUAUACAGACCAGAGGUUUUUCUCUGUGAGUUCCAUUUGUGAUUAGAAGAACGCAAAGGGGAUGAGGUAGGAGACCUGGGCACAGGCUGUGUCUCUGCUGAGGGUCCUUUCCCACCCUUUCUCCUCAGCCCAUUCCAGUGCAGGCUCUGUGGCCCAGCAGCCACUGGACAACACUCUCCUCUACUGAGUGCUGCCCUGACACAAACAACUGCCUUCAAGCUUCUAAAGAAAAAAAAAAAAACAACAGAAAAAUAGCAUCUUACAUAAAGCAUCUGGAGAAGAAGCUUCAAAGGCUUGUUCCAGCAGAAAAAGUUGAGUAUGUCUCUUUACUCAUGGUGUGAGGGGCAGUGCUGAGGGGACAGGCAUUUAUUAUGGGGCACAUUCUUAAAGCUUUGCUUCUCCUUUCUAUUUUUUUCCUGACAUUUGCUGUUUUAUACUCUCUGGCAAGCAGCAGAGCUCCACCGAUGCUGACUUGCAUAGCCCAUAGAGAUACUAAGGAAAUAUUUUUCUUAGCAACAAGCGGCACAUGAAAACACCAAGAAAGGCUUCCCUUGCUCAUAUUUCACUUCAGCUUUUUCAGUCAUCUGGUGCUGAGAUAAGAGCUGAGUGGUGAAACUUGUUACUACCAUGCUGAAAUAGUGUUCACAGAUGGCGAAAGGCUUUGUCAACACCAGCAAAUCACUACUUCUGCCUCCGCAAGUAUGCCCUACACUUUGGCCAAAAGUGAUGUGUUAUUCAGAAAGCAGGAAAGCAGAUACUGCGCAAGUAAUUCACUAUUUUAGUAUAAAAGGGGGAAGCAAAUUUAUUAUCAUUUUCCUUACAACACAUUUAAAUUUGAUAGAAGGGUCUUAAAAAGUGCAAAAGUGAGAGCCAGCUACCUACAGAUUACUUUUUUUUUUUUUUCCCCUCAAUCUUUUCAUUCAGUGCAGCCAAGUCAUCUCUUUUAGUAAACUGCUGAGUCAACACGUUUUAAACCACAACUGUUUCUUAUUUCUAUAUAGUUAACUGAUAAGGACCUGUUUAAGGGUUACACCCUUCCGUAUUUACACUGUUAAGGCAAACAUGGUUAUAGGUACAAUUACAUUUAAAAUU